This 3384-nucleotide long non-coding RNA is filed under the name Gossypium barbadense (sea-island cotton). Its description in RNAcentral is "long non-coding RNA (GBAR_LNC015687)". The record is from RNAcentral. Lineage: Eukaryota; Viridiplantae; Streptophyta; Magnoliopsida; Malvales; Malvaceae.
AAAGCCCCAGCGUCGGCAGAGAAGAGGCCGAAGGCUGAGAAAAAGAUCUCUAAAGAUAGCGGAGAUAAGAAGAAGAAGAAGAUCAAGAAGAGCACCGAGACGUACAAGAUUUAUAUUUUCAAGGUGUUGAAACAGGUUCACCCUGACAUCGGGAUCUCGAGCAAAGCCAUGGGGAUUAUGAACAGUUUCAUCAACGAUAUCUUUGAGAAACUGGCUCAGGAGUCUUCUAGAUUGGCUAGGUAUAACAAGAAGCCGACGAUCGCAUCGAGGGAGAUCCAGACGGCGGUGAAAUUGGUUUUGCCUGGUGAACUGGCGAAACACGCCGUCUCUGAAGGAACCAAGGCGGUUACUAAGUUCACAAGUUCUUAGAAUUGUGUAUUCUUUUUCAAUUGAAAUUGGGAUUUAAUUAGCGGGUUUUAGGGUUUUUAUUUUUUGAAUAAUGGUGGUAGUGCUGUAGUUGGGAUAGAGAGGUAAACUGUUUUAUGGAUACAAUAAUGAUAGUUACUAUUUGAAAUAGUUUUAUCUAUAUUUUGCUAAAAUCGUAUAGGGAUGAAUUUGGAUGAAUUUUGUAUUCAUUGUGUCAUUUUGAGUUGUGUGACUCAAACCUCUGAUGGGGUUUAUGAGUUGGUGGUAUGAUAGGAGACGUGAAGGUUGAGACCCUGUUUGUGUCCUUGAUGGGAGAUGAAUGAAAUAAUUUGUUGUGGUCAAGAAUCAAAAUAUGGAGUGAAAGCAAGGGAUUUUUAUAUCAUUAAAAGGCUUUGCUUUGUUGUCAGCUUGGCUGGAAAGAAAAAAAAAUAUUACUUACUGUUUAAAAGUGAAAUCACCUAUUUUGGAUGUUCAAGUUAAUGAAAAAGAAAUUUUUGUCAACAAAAUUAUUAUUUUUCUUUUGUUAAUUUGGUCAGAAAAUCAUUAUUGACCGUAUAUUUUUAGAGGUUAUUAUUAUUUUUGUCACCCUAAAAUACCUAGAAAUACGCUAUAGCUUUUUUGUUACCCUUUCAUGAUAGGUUAAUUUCCUUUUUAGUGUGACCAAAUAAACAAAAAAAAAUGAAUGAUUAAAAUAAGUACAAUUAUUAUUUAGAGUAAUUAAUCCGGUAAUUUUCUAUUUUUUUUAUUUUAAUGACAAUCUUCUUUAAAUAAAAAAAAGUCGUGGUUUUUUUUUUUAUUCUUUUUCUUUAUUUUGUUUUUGAAGUAGUGGUUUUUUUAUUUUAUUUUUCUCUAUGUUGUUUUUAUUAUUAAUUAAUUUUAGCUUUGGAUUUUUUUUUGAAAAAAUAAUUCAUUAAAAUUAGCACAAAAGAAAAUCAGUAGGAUAAAUCAACGAGGAAGGGAAACACUAAUCUAAACCAACUCCAUCCUAAUCUCUUCAUCGUCGAUAGAAGCACUACAAGCCAAAUCCGCAUCUAAAAUAACUUAUAAAAAGGGAUGAACAACAUCCCAAUAAGUGAGGUUGUUGCUGUCGUUGCUUUGUUUGGCAAUUUAUUUACUUCAAAUUAACUGCAAUGCUUUCCUUACUUUGAUUUGUAAUUGAUGUUUAUAAUUUGAUUUAUGGUAAAUUACAGUCUCUCAAUUAUUGGUAAGUUUUUGUUUUAUUACACAAUUAUGAAAAAUUAAAAAUGGCUAUCCAAUUAUAUCCAAUUUUUUUCCUUUUCGAUCAGCAACAGUUAAAUGAUUGACAGAAAGAAGACAUGUCAACUUCUAAAACUGGCAUAAUAAUAAUUUUAACCCUCUACAUUUAUAUAUUAUGUCAAUUUAGUCUUAAUUCUAAAUAAGUUAACCUCAAUGUUUAUGCAUUGUAUAAUUUGGUCUCUUUUUUUUCUUUUCAAUUUUGCUUUUCUUUGUGACAUUUUCACCUAAAAAGCUAAAAAAGAUUAUCAACUAAAUUUGAACGAACAUAUACCAAAAAUGAAAAUACCCAAAAUUUCAAGAUAAUAAUUUUUAUCUUCUCAUUCUUUUAAAACUAACCCUUAAUGUCACAAAUAAAAGUAAUAUCGUAAAAAAAAAAGAAGAUCAAAUUGCACAAGGUGUAAAUGUUGAGGUUUAGUUUUUUUUUUGGAAUCAAGACUAAAUUGACACAACAUAUAAAUAAUGAGGGUUAAAAUUGUUAUUAUGCCAAUUAGAAAAACUACCAAGUUAUCUUUCUAAUGAUAAUUUAACGGUUGGUGACCAAAAGAGAAAACUUCAAAUAUUUGGGCGACCAAAGAAGAAAAGUCAAGUAGUUGGGUGACCAAAAAAUAAAUUUACCAAUAGUUGGGUGUAGAGGUGUUCAUGGGCCGGGCCGGGCCUGAAAAAAAUUUAGCCCGAUUUCUAGGCCCGAGCCCGGCCCGACCCGGAAUAUGGGCCUGAGAUUUUGCCCAGGCCCGGCCCGUGGAGAAAAUAUGAAGCCCGGGCCCGGCCCGGCCCGGCCUUUUUUUUUUUACUUAAAACUAAUUGUUAUUAAAAUUAUAUCAAAUAUCAAAUUAUAUUUUUUAUACUAUAUAAUGAACAAAAAAUAAAAUAAGAUUACUUAUUUGAAUUUAAUUACAAACAAUCAAUUCUUAAAAAAAGAGAAUAAAAAUAAAAAAUGAUUAUACAAGUAAUUACAAAACAAUUAACUCGAAUUUAAUUACUUUUAACUUUUUAACUUUAAAUAUUUUAAAAUUUAUCAUAUCAUUACAUUUUUAUGCUUUUAAAGGAUAACAAAUUAACAAUGUUAUACUAAAUCUGUUAAUUUAUGGCCAAUUUUGCAUUUCCCAAAGGUAAUUUAUGGCCUCACAAUUUUAUACGAAAUCUGUUUGUUCUUGGCUAUAUUUUGUCUUAAUUAUUUAUGGCCAAAUUAGUUAUUUACGAAUGGCAUAUAGAAAGCAUUUGAAGAAGACUCUCUUCAUUUUGGGAUUGUUAAAUAGACUUGAUAAAUCUGCUUAUGGCAGCUUGUAAAAACUGAUUCUCACCAUUUUAACAAGGAUUUGCACUUUCAAAAGUAUAAUUGCAGAAGAAUCGAAGUGAAGAGAAACUAAAACUUAAAACUUUGGGGCUUCAUAAUAACAAAAAGACAACAUUUUCAAUAGUUCAUAACAUAAAAAUAAUACCUUCGAACAGUACAUAACAUUUAAAAAGAAAACAAAAACAAAUCUUUGGACAGCAUAAAACAUAAAGCAUAAAAAAUAAUACCUUCAGAAGUUGCAGAAGAAUCGAAGUGAAGAGAAGUAGAGAACAACAACAACGCUAGCGUCGUGGAACUGGAGCCUGGAGGUAGAGUCGUCGAGGACCGUACAUCGGAGGUGGGAUGGUUGAUCGGUGGAGGUGGAGGUGGAGUUUUCGAUUUGGGGGAAAAAAUGAGGAGGGAAGGGAAGGGGUUAGGGAUUCUGAAGUUUGAACGGGUGGGGGAAAUGGGAAAGGUAAGUAGGUAAC